This 80-nucleotide transfer RNA is filed under the name Blumeria hordei DH14. RNAcentral's name for it is "tRNA-Ala for anticodon AGC". It matches the Rfam family "tRNA". From Rfam's summary of the family: Transfer RNA (tRNA) molecules are approximately 80 nucleotides in length. Their secondary structure includes four short double-helical elements and three loops (D, anti-codon, and T loops). Lineage: Eukaryota; Fungi; Ascomycota; Leotiomycetes; Helotiales; Erysiphaceae. The record is from Rfam by way of RNAcentral.
GGGCUCGUGGUUUAGUGGUAUAAUACUCCCUUAGCAACUCGGUCUGGGAGUGGUCCGGGGUUCGAUUCCCCGCGAGUCCA